Molecule: long non-coding RNA, 792 nt
Filed under: Homo sapiens (human)
Lineage: Eukaryota; Metazoa; Chordata; Mammalia; Primates; Hominidae
Description: non-protein coding lnc-TRIO-8:1
Source: RNAcentral
GAGAAAGAGCAGAUGCAGUAGCAGGACACAGUGCCCGGAAGGCAGAACAAUGAGGCUGCCCCUGCCUCCGGUGAUGGCUGUGGGACCGGGAAUGAAGAUCCUGUUGCUUCUGUCCCACCUUCUCCUGUGACGCGUCUCCCUGCGGCAGCGCCGCGCUGAGGUGCCACACUGCUGGUUCCAACACCGCAGCCGCCACCGCCGCCGCCAUUUUCGUGGCGGAUGAGGGCCCGUGGCUGCCCUUCAUGGCUGCUGUGCCGGCGAAGAGGCAUUCUGACCUCCAGGGCUGCCGCAGGCCUCACCAUGUCCUUGGAUGUGUGAUGCCCUACGGGGACAGCCAGGCCGCUGUGGGGCCACCCCCGAAGGCCACUGGCCACUCCGACGAGCACCCGGCCCAGACCAAGAGCCCUGCAAACAACCGUCAUAGGAAGCGGCCAGGCCGCAACCAGGCUGUCGCAGCUCAGAGGCCUCCAGGGCGGGGUCUGUUUCCUCGGCCUUUGCAGCCAUCUUCUCCAGGGUCCCAGCCUAGCAGCCGUUGCGGUUCCCGGGCUUCUGUGUCGAGUCAGGCAACGCAGCCAGGCCCUGCACUCCUCAGCCAUGCAUCUGGGCCAAGCCAUGCAUCUGGGCCAAGCCCUGCUCGCCGAAGCAGCAUCGUUCUGCCAGGUCCUGCUCUCCGCAGACGUGCAUCUGGUUCAGGCCCUGCCAUCCGACGCUGCACCACCCAGUCAGGCCCUGCUCUUCCACGCCGCGCCACUCAUCCAGGCCCAGCUCGCCGAGGCCGUGCACCCGCGCCGG